Molecule: long non-coding RNA, 656 nt
Organism: Mus musculus (house mouse)
Lineage: Eukaryota; Metazoa; Chordata; Mammalia; Rodentia; Muridae
Product: predicted gene, 35644
Exons: 4
Source: RefSeq, a predicted model, not a curated record
GAGAAAUUGUAAAAUGAGGAACAGAAAUGAAGACACGGAGGAGACCAAUAGGCAAAGCAAGACUUCCUGGGGUAUACUGAGAGAAGGCAGGAAACAAACGAACGUCCGUGCUCUCUUCUCGGCAUUUGUCCGUUGAGGGUUUGCCUGUUCAGUUUGCUGUUUUAUUUUGUCUAACCUGCUCCCUGUAAGAAACACGGUGAAGGAAGAGUGUUUAAGAGUUUACAACACAAACCACUGAACUCCGGGCUCUCUCUAUUGAAGAUGCGGUAACGCUCCACAUGCGUGUACUAGUAGCAUGGGCUUAUAUGGAGUUCUUUCCUUCCUGAUUGGCCUCCACGAGGGAUUUUCCAGAUCUGUAGAAUGGUUGCAUCACACACCCAUCGGAACGAUCACGUAUGCAGGCAAUUGGUUUGCCCAAGCAGAACGAAGCCACUUGAGUCUAACUGGUUGAUCAUGGCGUUCCCAGCAUUUACGGCAGCGCCCAAUACUUAGAUGAUGUCCGAGAAGCCCGGAUAUAAAUGAACACCAAGUCCAGAGAGAACCAGGUUUGCGCAUCAGCCCUAAAGCCCUGUGCUGUACCCUCCUUCCCUGCUGUUUAGCCACCCAGGAUACCGAAUACUGUUCCGGUUUACCAAGGGAAGCCUUUUUAAAAGGUU